ACCUUUUGAGUUUGUUCUUGUGGGUUUCGAGGAGUUUAAAAGCCUUCGGAUUUGCUAGGAUUGGGCUCUUUUGGUGUACUUUCUCGUACGGUUAGUCAACAUCGGUUUUGAAUGUCAUAAAAUGACUGGAGGAAUGUGGCUUCGAUCUCGCAUCGAAGUGUUAUAACCUUUGGUAGAUGUGAUGUUUGAGACCGAGGAUUGCAACGGAUACCCUUCCAGGCUAUUCGUCUGAUCUCUGAUACGUUGCCUUGAUGUCGAAAGCGUGCUUAUGAUGUUAGGGUAUUACGGUCAAAAGGUUAGAACGGAUUAAAUUCGUUAAGGAUGUUGACGUAAUGACUUU
This 340-nucleotide ribosomal RNA is filed under the name uncultured Glomeromycotina. Its description in RNAcentral is "eukaryotic LSU rRNA". The record is from RNAcentral. Lineage: Eukaryota; Fungi; Glomeromycota.